RNAcentral lists this ribosomal RNA (452 nucleotides) under uncultured bacterium. RNAcentral describes it as "bacterial SSU rRNA". It matches the Rfam family "Bacterial small subunit ribosomal RNA", at positions 340 to 784 of the family's 1533-position model. The record is from RNAcentral.
UACGGAAGGCAGCAGUGGGGAAUAUUGCACAAUGGGCGCAAGCCUGAUGCAGCCAUGCCGCGUGUAUGAAAAAGGCCUUCGGGUUGUAAAGUACUUUCAGUCGUGAGGAAGGUGUUAAGGUUAAUAACCUUAGCAAUUGACGUUAGCGACAGAAGAAGCGCCGGCUAACUCCGUGCCAGCAGCCGCGGUAAUACGGAGGGUGCGAGCGUUAAUCGGAAUUACUGGGCGUAAAGGGCACGCAGGCGGUUAAUUAAGUUGGAUGUGAAAUCCCCGGGCUUAACCUGGGAAUGGCAUUCAAGACUGGUUAGCUAGAGUCUUGUAGAGGGGGUUAGAAUUCCAUGUGUAGCGGUGAAAUGCGUAGAGAUGUGGAGGAAUACCGGUGGCGAAGGCGGCCCCCUGGACAAAGACUGACGCUCAUGUGCGAAAGCUGGGGAGCAAACAGGGAUUAGAUA